ACAAUUAAAAGGGCAGUGACAUUAAAUAGAUAAAUUUACAUACAUUUACAUUCGUCCAAAUGUGGCGAACAUGUUGCGGCGCUUCAUUAGUGAAAGAGACCUAAUUAGGCUAGCUGUCAGAAGAUUUGCAACUGCUUUUCUCACUCUUCAACGCAUACAUACACAAGACGAAUUUAAGAAAGAUGUUUCCUUUAAAGGAAUGGACCAAAAGUAAAUAGGCAAAAGAACUGUCUGGUAAG
Molecule: unclassified non-coding RNA, 239 nt
Filed under: Hevea brasiliensis (rubber tree)
Lineage: Eukaryota; Viridiplantae; Streptophyta; Magnoliopsida; Malpighiales; Euphorbiaceae
Source: RNAcentral